GGGAUGUUUCAGAUCAUCAAAAUAUACAAUCAUGUGUGCUUGGCUUGUCCAUAAUUGCUUGAGCCAAGAAAUGGACCUCAACCACUAAUUAUCCUUAUAUCGAAUGCUUACACAGAUGCAUUGAGGUCGGAAAGCCUCGAGCUUGUGCAACCCAGCUCUCUUACAGUCCACACAGGCCUGGAUAGAAGGUGUGCAAUAUCCAAGCUUUCCAUCAGGUGGUUCCCCAUUUCUUAAUGCCACGGUCCAAAAAUCAGGCAAGUCCACUCCAUGUAAGGAUCACCAAAAGCAAGGGCUCCACACCCUUGGCUUUUUAUUUUUAUUUUUCUUACCAAUCUUCAUUACUUUAAUAUAACGAAGGGUUUCCAUAAUGUUUGACUUGUAUUAUGUAUUUAUCUUUGGUUGUAAGAUGCUUAUUCAAAGUGGAAGUAACUAUAUAGAGUGUAGGCUCAGGGGUCCACAAUGCUUACAUGGAUGCAUGAUCAAAGCUGCUCAUCAGUUUUAUCCUUGAAGAAAAAGGGAAGAAAAAUCUGUCCACAUAUAAAAAAAAUUCCAUAGCUAUUCUCCUCCAUCUGCUAGUUACAUGUGGAGCAUUUGAGGUGGAGCAUUGGUAAUAGAGGGAGGCUUUGCUGCUUCAUAUGGGGAUGGAUAUGGACUUCAUUCGGGUGAUGUUGACAAAGGUCCUCUAUAUGGCAUGAGUUCUGGUUCUUGGGGUGCAUUUGAGAAGUCUCACCUCGGGCGUCGCUGAAAUCCAUUGAUUUUUUUUUUUCCCUUCUGCUUUUCCUUGUGUCUCAAUCUGUAAAUUUUCUGUCUAUUAUGUAACUUUUCAUUCUCAGGCCCCCCUGUAAAUGAGGCUGGUUGUAAAUGAUUUACAGGUUGUGUUUGAAUGCUAAUUUAAGCCUGUAAAGGUCUUUUGAUUUAGAAGAUUUAACCUAGUAGAAUUUUUAAUUGUUU
Long non-coding RNA from Magnolia sinica, 951 nucleotides. RefSeq lists it as uncharacterized. NCBI's taxonomy places the organism in Eukaryota, Viridiplantae, Streptophyta, Magnoliopsida, Magnoliales, Magnoliaceae. The record is from RefSeq and is a predicted model, not a curated record. The transcript is spliced from 4 exons.